RNAcentral lists this long non-coding RNA (1703 nucleotides) under Rattus norvegicus (Norway rat). RNAcentral describes it as "long non-coding RNA NONRATT032176". The record is from RNAcentral. Lineage: Eukaryota; Metazoa; Chordata; Mammalia; Rodentia; Muridae.
CUUGAUGGUGGAAACUGACUCCUGGAAAGACAAUUCCUAUGUAGGCACACUGACACUGUGCAGCUGCUAGCUCUCACAGGCAUGCAUGUGAUCUCAUUCCACACAGAACACAUACAAAAUCAUGUAAUUGCAAAGAAACAUUCCUAGGGUGUGUUUAUGGUACAUUGGGAGAAUUAGUGCUGAAUUUAUGAGUCUGCCAAUUCAGAUCAACAUUAGUGAUUCAGCUUGCAAACCUGAGGUGCUGUCUAUUUUGAGAUAUCUCUGGGAACAGUGGAGUGGGAAAGAUAUGUAUACCUGUGUGAAUUUGUGCACCUAGGAAAUGGGUGUGGACAUGGGGGCCUUUAAGGCAAGUACUGUUGAAAAAGUGACAGUUAUGGAACCUCCCUUUUCAAAAUGACCUAAGAACACAGAACCUUGGUAACCUAAGGCAACCCACUGUUUAGAGCAAGGCCUACAGGCUCACUUGUUAGAGACUGUAGAGAGGGCAGGAUGUUCUCAAGCUGUCUUCAGACUACUCCAUGUUCAGGCCUCAAGAAAGACAAAAGGCGGGGCCAUGAUGGUGUCUGGAGGCACAGGCUUCAUUCAGUCUUGCCUUAAAAACCUGUGGCCAUUUUCCAAAAGGGGAAAUAAUUUUACCAAAGACUACCAAGGAACGGCCCACAAAGACUUGGAUGAGAAGGUUUCUGCUUAAAAGAGUCUGAUGGAGCCCAGUAUGGAGUCAUGCAUCAGGGCACAGACUGUGGUUGAGCAGAUGAGCACGCUGGUGCCUUCUCUGAAUGAAGGGUACCCCUUGGUUGUCCUUGCUUUUCUGUCUACAUAUAAAAGUUCUGUGUCACCCCUUCAGGUAUUGGACCUGCUGUUUGUGAGGUAUGCAUACUUCAGCCCUCAUUCUAAAGAGGAUAAACAAGUAAAGAACACUCUCUGUAGCUUCCUGGAAACAUGGAUGGACAAGAACCCUGAGGACUUUUGUGACCCAUCAGACCUGUUGCCUCUGAAACACCUGAGGCCUACUUGAGUGUGUACAUGCCCCACUGUGAUCUUAGUGUCCAUGUCAAGAGGCUGCUGACACAGUUGGAGGAAGAACAUGCCAAGGAUUCCCAGGCCAAAAAUGAGGAAGACUCAGAUCUGGGGAGACACACAUCCUCAGAACCACAGAUUGAAUGGGUUUAAACCAACAGGGAAAAGAGACAACCUGGAGACUGAACCAACUUGUGCACAGAGCUGGAGGGCAGAAAACUCUCUAGAAGUUUCUGUAACACAUGAGACCCUGCAGCCAGAUAUGUCAGCAGCUGGGCAGACAGCACACAUGAUAGCAAUUGUGGAACUUGUUUCUCAGUAUGUCUGCAGAAACGAUGUAUCUUUCAGUCAUCUCCUGCUUGUUAAAGGCCAACCUAUUUAGAAAAUGGCCCUGUCACAUCUGGUCAUCAACUGGAGUCUGUCCUACAUCUGAGCUGCUGCUCCUGCCCCUCAUGAUCAGCUGCUGAUUUCAAUCCAGCAGCAGUUCCAACCCCACAGCCAGCCUACCCCUCCCCUGAGAGAGCCCCUUUAUUCCUUCUGAUAUUUCAAGGUUGUGUUUAUUUUAAGUAUUGGUUUUAAUAAGUUGUUAGUAUUUGUUUACAUUGUCUGCAAUGCUAUCUAAUAAUGAGAAAAAAAUGUGUCCAAAUUAUGAAUAUUCUCUUUGAUAUAUUUUUUAAAAUUUAUUC